GCAACUCGCCUGCAUGAAGUCGGAGUUGCUAGUAAUCGCAGAUCAGAAUGCUGCGGUGAAUGCGUUCCCGGGUCUUGUACACACCGCCCGUCACACCAUGGAAGUUGGGGGCGCCCGAAGUCGGCCGGGAGAUAGGCUGCCUAAGGUGAAACCAAUGACUGGGGUGAAGUCGUAACAAGGUAGC
This 184-nucleotide ribosomal RNA is filed under the name uncultured bacterium. RNAcentral describes it as "partial 16S ribosomal RNA". It matches the Rfam family "Bacterial small subunit ribosomal RNA", at positions 1307 to 1500 of the family's 1533-position model. The record is from RNAcentral.